AUUGAACGCUGGCGGCAGGCCUAACACAUGCAAGUCGAGCGGAUGAAGGGAGCUUGCUCCUGGAUUCAGCGGCGGACGGGUGAAUAAUGCCUAGGAAUCUGCCUGGUAGUGGGGGAUAACGUCCGGAAACGGGCGCUAAUACCGCAUACGUCCUGAGGGAGAAAGUGGGGGAUCUUCGGACCUCACGCUAUCAGAUGAGCCUAGGUCGGAUUAGCUAGUUGGUGGGGUAAAGGCCUACCAAGGCGACGAUCCGUAACUGGUCUGAGAGGAUGAUCAGUCACACUGGAACUGAGACACGGUCCAGACUCCUACGGGAGGCAGCAGUGGGGAAUAUUGGACAAUGGGCGAAAGCCUGAUCCAGCCAUCCCGCGUGUGUGAAGAAGGUCUUCGGAUUGUAAAGCACUUUAAGUUGGGAGGAAGGGCAGUAAGUUAAUACCUUGCUGUUUUGACGUUACCAACAGAAUAAGCACCGGCUAACUUCGUG
Molecule: ribosomal RNA, 484 nt
Filed under: uncultured bacterium
Lineage: Bacteria
Description: partial 16S ribosomal RNA
Rfam family: Bacterial small subunit ribosomal RNA
Source: RNAcentral